CGGGGUAUGGCGCAGUCCGGCUAGCGCACCUGCUUUGGGAGCAGGGGGUCGCAGGUUCGAAUCCUGUUGCCCCGA
This 75-nucleotide transfer RNA is filed under the name Bacteroidales bacterium. RNAcentral's name for it is "tRNA-Pro". It matches the Rfam family "tRNA". Rfam says of the family: Transfer RNA (tRNA) molecules are approximately 80 nucleotides in length. Lineage: Bacteria; Pseudomonadati; Bacteroidota; Bacteroidia; Bacteroidales. The record is from RNAcentral.